GUACACGCUGUGACUAGCAUAUCAAUAAGCGGAGGAAAAGAAACUAACUAGGAUUCCCUCAGUAACGGCGAGUGAAGCGGGAAGAGCUCAAAUUUGAAAUCUUCAAGGUUCUACCUUGACGAAUUGUAGUUUAAAGAAGUGUUUUCUGUUGGAGUUUUGGUAAAAGUUCUUUGGAAUAGGACAUCAUAGAGGGUGAGAAUCCCGUAUUUGACCAUUAUUUUCCAGCUGUGUGAUACACUUUCAAAGAGUCGGAUUGUUUGGGAAUGCAGUCCAAAAUGGGUGGUAAAUUUCAUCUAAAGCUAAAUAUUGGCGAGAGACCGAUAGCGAACAAGUACCGUGAGGGAAAGACGAAAAGAACUUUGAAAAGAGAGUUAAACAGUACGUGAAAUUGUCAAAAGGGAAGCGUUUGACACCAGUGUUGUUUUCUCGAAAAUCAAUUAAAAAAGGCAGGAUUUUGUGUUGUAUUGACUUUAUCAGCUUUCUGCACUCUUUUCUUGUCUUUUUUAAUGCACUUUUCGUUUAACAAGUCAACAUCAAUUUCUUUUGUUGUAAAAGGGUCAUUGGAAGGUGGCUUUCUUUUCGGAGAAAGUGUUUAUAGCCUUUGGCCUCUGCAAUCGGAGAGAUUGAGGUCUGCAGCGUAGAUCCUUCGGGGUUAGAUACAUUUGUGCUAAGUUAUAGCCUUUCAUAGACAACUCGUUGACUAUGAUCAGUCAUGUAGCUUACUCGCUUAUGCUAUUUUACCUACGCUUAGGAUGUUGAAGACUCUACAGAGAUA
Molecule: ribosomal RNA, 775 nt
Filed under: uncultured Neocallimastigales
Lineage: Eukaryota; Fungi; Neocallimastigomycota; Neocallimastigomycetes; Neocallimastigales
Description: partial large subunit ribosomal RNA
Rfam family: Eukaryotic large subunit ribosomal RNA
Source: RNAcentral